CAGCUAGUUGGUGAGGUAAUGGCCCACCAAGGCGAAGAUCGGUAUCCGGCCUGAGAGGGCGCACGGACACACUGGAACUGAAACACGGUCCAGACUCCUACGGGAGGCAGCAGUGGGGAAUUUUGCGCAAUGGGGGAAACCCUGACGCAGCAACGCCGCGUGGAGGAUGAAGCCCCUUGGGGUGUAAACUCCUUUCGACCGGGAAAAUAAUGAUGGUACCGGUGGAAGAAGCACCGGCUAACUCUGUGCCAGCAGCCGCGGUAAUACAGAGGGUGCGAGCGUUGUUCGGAAUUAUUGGGCGUAAAGGGCGCGUACGCGGUGUUGUAAGUCACCUGUGAAACCUCUGGGCUUAACCUCGAGCCCUGC
Molecule: ribosomal RNA, 366 nt
Filed under: uncultured Acidobacteriota bacterium
Lineage: Bacteria; Pseudomonadati; Acidobacteriota
Description: SSU rRNA
Rfam family: Bacterial small subunit ribosomal RNA
Source: RNAcentral